Molecule: transfer RNA, 72 nt
Filed under: Myotis davidii
Lineage: Eukaryota; Metazoa; Chordata; Mammalia; Chiroptera; Vespertilionidae
Rfam family: tRNA
About the family: Transfer RNA (tRNA) molecules are approximately 80 nucleotides in length. Their secondary structure includes four short double-helical elements and three loops (D, anti-codon, and T loops).
Source: Rfam by way of RNAcentral
GCCCAUGUGGCUCAGUGGAUGGAGCGUUCGCCUGCGGACUGAAGGUCCCCGGUUCGAUUCCGGUCAAGGGCA